GGCCCCAGCGUCGCCAGGAGAGCUUCCAGCCUCUCUAGAAUCACUACUGCGCACUUCCUGGACAGCAGUCUCCGUCGCAAGAAGCGGAGGGAAAAAAAAAAGCAACAAGCAGGGAUAGAACCAGCGUUGGCCGCCGCGCACGUCGGGAGUUGUAGUUCUGGCUAGGCCGUGCGUCCUGCACCGAUCUCCGGGCCCGCCGCGGCGCCCGCUGGCCUGGGGUUCCGGCUUACAGCGCGGGAAUUCGGGAACCCAGCGCGGGCUGCAGAGGCCCCAGCAGGAGCCCCGCCUCCCGGCUCGUCGACGGAUUCGUUCUUGGCCCUGCCAAUCUGAUUCUCAGCUCCCAGAACUUCACGAUUUAGAAUGUAGACUUUUGCUUUGUGACAGUUCUCCCCAUCCCCGACUACUAAAUGACGAACCCUCUUUAACUGUGAAAUGUACCUGCAAAGUCAAGCAGUGUCUUUGGAUACCCAAGUUCAGAUAUGAACAAGCAAGCUACAAAAGCGGGGUGGGCGGGUAUGAGUGAGCAGAAGAGAGAAACCGGGCUGCAAAAAAGGAAAAUAAAGGCGGGACGUGGGGGUAUGAUUUGCUGAAUGGUACCAAAGUUGAUUUUUUGCACCGUGCACAGUGAUCGAGCUGAGCAAAUUAUUUUUUUUUUAAUUAUAAGCAGCGGUAAGAACAACAACAAAAUUACAUUUGGAAAAUGAUUUGCAUUUUCUCGGUCUGAUCAUUUCACGUUCCCUGGGAAAGGGAUGUCAAGAGUGCCUUGCUGCCUCCUCAUGUGUGUCAAUAGGAGAGUGAUGAUAUUUGAGUUGGAUCUUAAAGAGCAGAAUUUCCUCAAAAUGUAGAGGAGGAGAAGAUUGUGGUCCAGACUUCCAUCUUCCCAUAUAAUGACUCCAGAAGAAA
RNAcentral lists this long non-coding RNA (903 nucleotides) under Homo sapiens (human). RNAcentral's name for it is "HSALNT0394973". The record is from RNAcentral. Lineage: Eukaryota; Metazoa; Chordata; Mammalia; Primates; Hominidae.